GAUGGUAAUCGACAUGCAAUUUCUCUGUAUCACUGAUGGCUCAGACAUGCGUAAUCCAGAUCUCUGUUCCACAAAUGGGGGCUUCUAAAACCGGUGCCUCUGGAUUGCUUUAGGCUCCUCUGCAUUUAGUGGCUGCUGUUCUCUGAGGAAGGCAGUAUCAUAGAGGAGCAGGAGCAGUUCAUCCCUCUAAUCUUUCCAGCAGACAAGGCAAUGUGAAAUAAUAUGCAGUCCCAAAUUGGCAAGUUCUCUGACAAGAGAGGUUUGGCUGUGUCAAACCUGCACUUCAGUGACUUCAGAGAAGCAGCUACGUGUUUUACCUCUGCUGAACAGUGCUUGCCUCGUGACUGAGAUUCAUGCUGCUUUCACACGGCAGGAAAGCCAAGCUCAGCCGUGCUGGCUGCUCGCUCCGAGCACAAGUCUGUCAGCUCCGACAGCCAUGGCCAGGGCACCCUGCCCUGCAUUUGCAGUAACUAGGUCACAGAAGAAAUGGCUUUUGUGA
This 499-nucleotide long non-coding RNA is filed under the name Cyanistes caeruleus (blue tit). RNAcentral's name for it is "lncRNA (ENSCCEG00000014180.1)". Lineage: Eukaryota; Metazoa; Chordata; Aves; Passeriformes; Paridae. The record is from RNAcentral.